RNAcentral lists this ribosomal RNA (547 nucleotides) under uncultured bacterium. Its description in RNAcentral is "bacterial SSU rRNA". It matches the Rfam family "Bacterial small subunit ribosomal RNA", at positions 355 to 896 of the family's 1533-position model. The record is from RNAcentral.
UGGGGAAUAUUGCGCAAUGGGGGGAACCCUGACGCAGCCAUGCCGCGUGAAUGAAGAAGGCCUUCGGGUUGUAAAGUUCUUUCGGUAUUGAGGAAGGUUGAUGUGUUAAUAGCACAUCAAAUUGACGUUAAAUACAGAAGAAGCACCGGCUAACUCCGUGCCAGCAGCCGCGGUAAUACGGAGGGUGCGAGCGUUAAUCGGAAUAACUGGGCGUAAAGGGCACGCAGGCGGUUAUUUAAGUGAGGUGUGAAAGCCCUGGGCUUAACCUAGGAAUUGCAUUUCAGACUGGGUAACUAGAGUACUUUAGGGAGGGGUAGAAUUCCACGUGUAGCGGUGAAAUGCGUAGAGAUGUGGAGGAGUACCGAAGGCGAAGGCAGCCCCUUGGGAAUGUACUGACGCUCAUGUGCGAAAGCGUGGGGAGCAAACAGGAUUAGAUACCCUGGUAGUCCACGCUGUAAACGCUGUCGAUUUGGGGGUUGGGGUUUAACUCUGGCGCCCGUAGCUAACGUGAUAAAUCGACCGCCUGGGGAGUACGGCCGCAAGGUUA